Molecule: ribosomal RNA, 452 nt
Filed under: Sympherta fucata
Lineage: Eukaryota; Metazoa; Arthropoda; Insecta; Hymenoptera; Ichneumonidae
Description: partial 28S ribosomal RNA
Source: RNAcentral
CCUGAGAAACCCAAAAGAUCGAAUGGGGAGAUUCAUCGUCAGCGAUUCUGGCACGUGUGCGGUUCGCGAUGCCAGGGACUUCGGUCUCAUGGCACUCGUCCGUAUGGUUUUAUGCCAGAUGUCGUCGGCGUGCACUUCUCCCCUAGUAGGACGUCGCGACCCGUUGGGUGUCGGUCUACGGCCCGGGUGGGCGCCUGCCAUGUGCUACGCUUCACGGCGCGUCAUGCGGCAGACCCCCGGUUGCCUGGCCAGCUGCUCGGCGGUACUCGCACGGUAUCGAGCCGCAAAUAUUCGAACUGCGUCCGGCCCGUCGCAAGCGAGGCCAGUGUUUCCCGGAUGUACGGACCUAGCGCCGUCACCGGGCCUGGCCAGCUGUUGGUUGAUGGUGUCCUGGGACUGGCUCUAAAUUAUGAUACCGGUCGGCGACGCUACUGCUUUGGGUACUUUCAGGA